UAACGAAUCUUCCGCAAUGUACGCAAGUAUGACGGAGCGACGCCGCGUGUGGGACGAAGCCCUUCGGGGUGUAAACCACUGUCAGGGGUUAGAAAGUUCUGAUCGACCCCAGAGGAAGGCACGGCUAACUCUGUGCCAGCAGCCGCGGUAAGACAGAGGUGCCAAGCGUUAGGCGGAAUCACUGGGCUUAAAGCGUGUGUAGGCGGAUCGUUAAGUACCUUGUGAAAUCCCCCGGCUCAACCGGGGAACUGCUGGGUAUACUGGCGAUCUUGAGCUGUCUAGGGGCGACCGGAACAAAUGGUGGAGCGGUGAAAUGCGUAGAUAUCAUUUGGAACGCCAAUGGUGAAAACAGGUCGCUGGGGACAUGCUGACGCUGAGACACGAAAGCCAGGGGAGCAAACGGGAUUAGAUACCCCGGUAGUCC
RNAcentral lists this ribosomal RNA (424 nucleotides) under uncultured bacterium. Its description in RNAcentral is "bacterial SSU rRNA". It matches the Rfam family "Bacterial small subunit ribosomal RNA", at positions 355 to 796 of the family's 1533-position model. The record is from RNAcentral.